Pundamilia nyererei is the source of this 606-nucleotide RNA transcript. It is a transcript of the gene named monocyte chemotactic protein 1B-like, with no coding region annotated. NCBI's taxonomy places the organism in Eukaryota, Metazoa, Chordata, Actinopteri, Cichliformes, Cichlidae. The record is from RefSeq and is a predicted model, not a curated record. The transcript has 4 exons.
AGUCAAGAUUCUCUCCAUCACGCUCCUCCUGCUCUCAAUAUGUGUGUGCUGCCACUCCUCUGAAGUUCCAGCUCAUCCUGGAAAGAGAUGACCGUGCUGCGUUGACGUCACCUACAUGAAUAAGAGCGCCGAGGUGGUGGGGGAAACAUAUCGUCAGCAGGCUGCAAGACCACCCUGUGUGAAGGCUAUAAUUUUCAACACAGGAAACGGAGGACAACUUUGUGCUGAUCCUAACGCUCAGUGGGUCAAAGAUCUCACUGCCAACAAGACGAAGGUGUAGUGAAGUGAAGUUCUCUGGUGAAGCAUCACUGCCUGUCUCCUUUGAGAUCACCUUUAAAAACGUAUUUUAACUCGAGCGCUUUCUUAAUGUAACUGUUUCUUUCUGCUUUCAUUUACAUUUACUCUAACCUGUUGAGUAAUCCUAUUGUUUAUUCUAGGUGACGGCUUUAGUCUUUUUUUGGACCAGCUGUUUUCAAAUGGAUACGUUUUGACUUCCUUUGUUUUUGUCUUUCUUGCUUAUUCAUGAAUUUCUUUCUUUGUAUUAUGUGUUGAUGUGAAGCACAUUCUGGCAGCAAAAAAUAAUAUAAAAAAAUAAACUUUUGUAUU